This 1442-nucleotide long non-coding RNA is filed under the name Manacus vitellinus (golden-collared manakin). RNAcentral's name for it is "lncRNA (ENSMVIG00005011890.1)". Lineage: Eukaryota; Metazoa; Chordata; Aves; Passeriformes; Pipridae. The record is from RNAcentral.
CAGCUCAGCACCAGCCUCUUCAGGGACACGGGCAGCCCCCGCCGCCAGCACCAGCACCUCCAGCCCGCUGGCGAGAGCAGCGACCACGACUACGCCCUGCCCAGCCCCCGGCCCCGCGGCCUGGAGGAGGCGGCCGUGGGGACUGAGGCGGAGGAGGAGUGGGCGGCCCCCGGCGGGAUCUGCCUGCACGUGGACCGGGAUCAGGUGUCGGUGGAGUUCUGCUCCAUCUGUGCUCGGCGGGCGGCGGCCUCCUUCAAAAUGUAGGGUCAAGUACCUGCUGCAAGUACUCGUGGGGUUCUCACCCCUAAGGGCCUCGCGUCGCGGCGGAGGAAACAGGCGAUGUUUCUCUUUUAGGUGCUUGCCCUGCCAGGCUCCGUUGUGUAGGGGUUAAAGAACAGUCGUUUUCCACCUCGCAACCUGUGGAUUCAGCUGUGUUGGGGCAGAAGAGACGGGACCAGCUGCUGGCCACAUUUCCUGCUUUAUUUUAAAAGGUAGUAUAAGAAAUGAGAAUAAAGAGGUAACAGGGCUUUUGCUGUCUUUGGUUAAAAAGAAAAAAGUUGAAUGCUGGGAUCAUUUACUGUCAUUCAAGAUUUAUUUUUUUUUUAAAGGCAAUAUCCUAUCAAACAGGUUUUACUCCACUGUAUGUAGAAUUCCAUCUGUUCAGGGUAUAUUGCCAGCACAAAAGAGACUUAGUGGGAUAUGUGUUACCUUACACCUCUGUGGUGGAUCAGCAGGGCUGUUCAAAGUUUCAGUCUUAAAUUGGGUAACUGCUGUAACUGAUGGGUUAUACCCGUGCCACGGGAGUCAGAGUUAACCACCAGGACCUGCACUGACUGAUAUGCAAAAUGGAAAUAAUUUAGAUUCAACCUAGGCUCAACCUGCCUAGCUCAGACUUCAUGAACAUGCUUUGUUUUGCAGUUUAUUGAAAAAAGAAAACCAUUAAUGUAGUAUAGGAUGUUACAGUGGCAUUUUCACAGUUACUUCAGUGUAGAAGUGGUUUUUAAGUUAAAUAUGCAUUCUUUCUUGUCGCAUCACUGCUAAAUGGCAGGGUCAGGGACUCAGUUCUUCUGGUCUCUGUGUGAACCCUCACAUUGCUCUGUCGUGACACGACCUGUGAGCUGUGUCUGAGAGCAGCUGAUUUUCUGACAUGCAAAACGAUGUAUUUUGGUAUAAGAACAAGGUUAAGUCCCAAGAAAGUCAGUGGCUGCAGGCAUUUGUAGUGCCUACUGAAUCAUAUUUAAACCAAAUAGUGGGGAGGAAGCUAUUUGAAACUCUUGACUGUACUAUCUGUAUGGUGUAUUAUUAAUGUAGCUUUUUGAAGUGAAAGCCUUGAAAUGAAAAAACUUAAUACUUGAAAAUAUAUUGUAAAUGUUUCCUUGUAAUUAUGUGCCAUCCAGAUAAGAAUGCAAUAUCAUAAUAAAAUCAGACUUGUUGAUCUUUCA